Long non-coding RNA from Rhopalosiphum maidis (corn leaf aphid), 261 nucleotides. RefSeq lists it as uncharacterized. The transcript has 3 exons. NCBI's taxonomy places the organism in Eukaryota, Metazoa, Arthropoda, Insecta, Hemiptera, Aphididae. The record is from RefSeq and is a predicted model, not a curated record.
AUUUCUGAAUUAUUCAGUGUUGUCCACGUACUAGUUGUCAUAAACAGACUUUCGAUCUCUUUAUGAUGGCAGUACAGCAGAUCACUUAAGGAUUGCUAAGACAUGAAUUAACGUUUCUAACACUUGACAAAGUUACAACAUCCUACGUUGAAAAUGGACUAGACGAUACUGAUAAUAAUAAUGGUUUUAUGCAAAGUACGAGUAAUGGAUUGCAGUGCAACAGAUCACUCAAGGCUUGCUGAGCAUGAAUUAACAUUUUUA